This 83-nucleotide transfer RNA is filed under the name Vibrio phage vB_VorS-PVo5. It matches the Rfam family "tRNA". From Rfam's summary of the family: Transfer RNA (tRNA) molecules are approximately 80 nucleotides in length. Their secondary structure includes four short double-helical elements and three loops (D, anti-codon, and T loops). Further hydrogen bonds mediate the characteristic L-shaped molecular structure. tRNAs have two regions of fundamental functional importance: the anti-codon, which is responsible for specific mRNA codon recognition, and the 3' end, to which the tRNAs corresponding amino acid is attached (by aminoacyl-tRNA synthetases). tRNAs cope with the degeneracy of the genetic code in two manners: having more than one tRNA (with a specific anti-codon) for a particular amino acid; and 'wobble' base-pairing, i.e. permitting non-standard base-pairing at the 3rd anti-codon position. Lineage: Duplodnaviria; Heunggongvirae; Uroviricota; Caudoviricetes; Demerecviridae. The record is from Rfam by way of RNAcentral.
GCAGGAGUGGCGUAAUUGGUAGCCGCGUGUGCCUUAGAAGCAYAUGUCCUAGUGACGUGAGGGUUCAAGUCCCUCCUCCUGUA